CUACGGGAGGCUGCAGUGGGGAAUAUUGCACAAUGGACGAAAGUCUGAUGCAGCAACGCCGCGUGGAGAAUGACACACUUCGGUGCGUAAACUCCUUUUAUAUAAGAAGAUAAUGACGGUAUUAUAUGAAUAAGCACCGGCUAACUCCGUGCCAGCAGCCGCGGUAAUACGGAGGGUGCAAGCGUUACUCGGAAUCACUGGGCGUAAAGAGCGUGUAGGCGGAUAGAUAAGUUGGAAGUGAAAUCCUAUGGCUCAACCAUAGAACUGCUUCCAAAACUGUCUAUCUAGAAUAUGGGAGAGGUAGAUGGAAUUUCUGGUGUAGGGGUAAAAUCCGUAGAGAUCAGAAGGAAUACCGAUUGCGAAGGCGAUCUACUGGAACAUUAUUGACGCUGAGACGCGAAAGCGUGGGGAGCAAACAGGAUUAGAUACCCCCGUAGUC
Molecule: ribosomal RNA, 439 nt
Filed under: uncultured bacterium
Lineage: Bacteria
Description: partial 16S ribosomal RNA
Rfam family: Bacterial small subunit ribosomal RNA
Source: RNAcentral